UUACGAAACAUAUUACACGAAGACAUUUAACAUCAAUUUAUUCGACGGCAUAAACCGAAUUACCACGUAACGAUCGACAUCGAUACAAAAUACGAUAGUAGUAGGCUCAUCAUACAUAUAACCAAAGAUUCAUCAGCUCAAAGUCAUCCAACUAGUAGUAAGCUGAUAAAUCGAGGCCAUCGAGGUAAGAUGCACGAAAUGGACGACGACGACGACGAAUAGACUUCUUGUUGGCCUCCCAAUACUCACGCAUAUUCUCCUUAACCGGAUACACGAUUAGCUCACGUACGGUCAUCGGCUGGAUGACGUUAGGAUCGGCUCCAUAGAGAAGAUGAGCAAUUUCCUCUUGCGCCUUCUCUGUGUUGUGACGUCCAUCGAAGAAGAAGUAAGAUCUUUGGUACUCACAUAGCUUCGAGUGCACGUUUCCCAUCCCGCAACCGUAAGCAUUAUGCGUCCCUACCCCGCAACACGAUGUGUUCGCCACAUAAAACCCUAUAGAUCAACAUGAAUCAUUUAGAUUAUAUUAUAUCUUCACGCGCGUUCGAUUAUCCUUGUGGCUUUUAUCAGAUCUUUGGUAUCUUUAAUCUGUUUUUUUGUUUGCAUUGUACUUAAUAAACGUUUAAUAAUAUGAUAAGAUCGCUGAAAAAUUCUCAAUGUACUAAACAACAUGCAACAAUUAAUUAGUUAGUGAAUAUUUUUUUUUGCUAAAUAGUGAAUAUUAUGGUGAUGACGAUGACUUACGGUAGUGAAUACUCCUGCCAGACGCAAUCCUACGCAAAACGGCGUUGUAGAAAUCGAAGACGGUGAACUGAAAACCACUGUUGGGUUUUUUAGCAAACUCGUUCAACAUCGGACCGAUCUUCUCGUUGUGUAGUUUAGCCAAAUCGUUGAGUGGCUCGUAACAUUCGUUGCCGGUUUUGUAUUCUUGUCUGGAGAUCGGUAGACAACCCAAUGGUGCUAGUAAUGGAACCACGAAUUUACUCGCUCCCAGGGAGUAUAACAACUGUAAAAAUAAACAUAAAUAUAUUUUAUAUAUAUAUGUAAGCCAAAACAUACAUAAAUAGUAAGUCAAAUGAACAUAUUAGUUAAUGUACAAAUACGCAUAAUAUACUGUUUGUUGACAACUUACGCCAAUGUCGUUCUUCAAUCGGUUAGUGACAGAAGUGACAAAAGCUUGCUGAGCAGAAGUGUCUGCUUUUGGAUUGGUCUUGGUGAAGUUUAAAUAAUCUUCAGUACCAAUAUAUAUCAUAAACACUGAUUUCUCGAUGUAGUCGUCUGUCCAUUUUGAUAUCAUACUUUUAAAUUUGUUCACUUGUUGAUUCAGUGUCAUCUGUAUAUACAUCAAAAAAAAAAAAUUGGUAAACAUGUUAAGAUUACAUAGACAAGUAAUUUAAAAAAUAAAUCAAUUAAACUUUUCUUAUUAAUAACUAUUAUUAAAAGAAAACAUUUAUUUUCGAUUUUUUUUAAAGCUGUAUAUUUCUGAAUGAUUCUUUCUUAUUCUUUCCCCAAAAGGGACAUCGUUUAAGCUGUAUAUGUACUUCAGGUAUUAUUAUACCUAAAAAGUCUCUCUUUUGUAGAAAAUCCAAUGUUUUCUUUUUUUUUUUAGCGAAAGCAGACUUACAGAUUCCACCGGAGCCCCAAGAAUAGAAGCAUCGGCGACGGCAAAACUAGCUCCACGUGAAAGAUCAACGUCCGGUUUAAGAGCCGGUGGGAUUCCGUUCGGAAUGGACAUGAAGUCACCUAUACAAUAACCAUGAGAUCGAUUAGUUAUUAUCUUGUGUCUUAAUAAGCUACACUAUAUAUCGUUAAUUAGAUUAUUAAUAAAGAGCGCACCAAUAAAAUCGGGGACGAUCCGGCCAUCGGAAAAUUUGCCGUCCGGGUAGUCGAUGGAUUUGCCGUAAGGCCACAAGUUUUGUGGAAGAUUUCUAUUUUUUUUAAGUAGAAACACUUUGUUUCCGGCGUCGUAGUAGGAGUCACCAAAAGCGAACAACGCUACAUUCGGAACACCUUCGCCGGCGUAGACAAUGAUCGGAUCAUGGAAGAUGGUCAAUACCAAUAAUGCUCCCAAAACACUCACUAAAUUACACUUGCCUGCCAUUUCUCAAAGGUAUUAUGCGAGAGAGAGAGAGGAGAGGAGAGGAUUAAUGGACGGGUGGUGAACUUUCACGCUCUCCACUGGUCUUAUUUAUACUGCCAAUAUAAUAUAGUACUCGUUUUUCUUUCACUAAUAUAAUAUUUUUUUAAUAAUAUAUUAUUCAAAAGUAAUGUAAUCUGUAAAGAGAAAUCUUAUCUAUAUCGCAUCCCCUUACAAUUUCAGGCUCAAGACUCACGUAGCAUGAGGCCAUAUCCAUAACCGUUUCUAGAGAUACGAAGUCUCGAACUUUAAAAAAUGACACUCAUCAUAUUAAAUUCAUAUAAAAUCAAAAUUUAAAACAUAAUCCAAAAAAAAAUAAGAUAACAAAAUUUAAAACAUAACAUUUCUUCUCUUCUUUGUAACAAAUUCAUUAACCACGUUUUCAACACUUUUAACUAACUCUCUUUUGAUAGACAUAUAAUUUGAUAGACAUAUAAUGAAAAAUAUAUAUAAAUCUAUAAAGAGUUAGUUAUGCUAACAUUUUACUGAGAUUUUUUAGAAAAAAAGUUAAAACACAUCGCGUCAAUAAAUUAUCAUCAUUAAUCAUUACUUUAUUUUUUUAUUAAUUAAAUAUUAGAUUUAAUAUUUAACUAAAAUCUGUUGUUGCCUUUGGAUCUUCAAGUUUUUUUAUAAAAUUUGAGCUCGUAAGCCAAUGCUUCUUUUUCACUCACAUAGGCACGAACCUGACCAUAUAUCAACACUUUAGUACGAGAAGAUAUGAGGCCAUAUCAAAAAAAUAUUGUUUGCCCGAAAAUUGUUACUUUAUGAGAUUUUUAUCGACACUUUAGUACGACAAUCUAUGCGACCAUAUCAAGAAAAUUGUAACAUUUCAGAAAAUUAUUUUGUUCUAACGUAUAGAUUGGUCGUUAAAUUGCUUUCUUUCUUUUUUUUACGUACAUUAGUUAAAUUGCUUAAAAAGGCAUCUUAAAGCAAAAUUUUGGGUAAACUUAAUAAUAACGUAUUUACCUUAGAUACAAUUCUGUUUUAAGAGGUUGAGAUUGAAAAAAAAAGGAUUUCAGAUAUAAUAUAUAUAUAUAUAUAUAUAUAUAUAUAUAUAUAUAUUGGAAUUAGGUUUUCAUUUAAUAACGAGUUGUUGGAAAUAUUAAUAUCAGCAAAAGUUAUUCGGCUUAAAAAUAACCGUCUUAAAACUUUUGCCUCUCGUUAUUCAAGUUAGUACCAUAUCUAAUAUCCCUAAGUUAUUCGGCUCUAAACUGUUCUUCUUCGAUCCAUCUGCGAUUCUGCGCCCAGCAUGUUCUUCAUUGGGAAUCUCUGUCUUGUCGUCCAUCGUAAUUUGUCUCAUUCAAUUCUCCAUCAACAUGUUUUAUCUGGAAACGUUUUACCCCCGAUUUAAAUGGUCUCACCUAACAAUUGAUGAUAUUUGAUUAUUGUCACUUAGUAUUUAUUAACUCCCUGAAAUUUUUUGUCUUUCGCAAUACGGCGCUCAACUUUAGAAAUUAUCAGCUUCUUAUUUUAAUCUUUCGCAAUACGUCACUCAUCAACUUUAGAAAUUAUCAGCUUCUAUGUACUGAUCUGAUCUCAACGUAUUAGCAAACUCGAAAUGGAAUAUGAAAACUGCCAAUCGCAUAUAUUUGUAUAUCAACAAAACGAUUCAUAUAUACGCGCGACUUGUAUAUAGAUAUCCACAACAUAUUUUUUAAAAAGUGGGAAAUCUUUCAGGAACAGAUGAAAAACUCUAGUUUUUGUUAGCGUCCACUGUAGUAUACGUGGAAAAUGGAGACAAACUCUCUUGUCAGUUGUCACAGACCAUCCUCAACAACAGAGGUAUUCACGAACGCUAAAGAUAAUUGCAAAUGUGGCUAUUACCUUGAUUGAUUUAUCUGCAAAAUAGUGAUACUAAUUUUUGUUGAAAAUCAAAAGUAGAAUCAACAGUUGCAAUAUACAUAUAAUAUAUAUAUAUAUAUGUGUGUGUACUUAAUUUAUUUAUAUACAUGCAUAUAUACUCAUAAAUUUAUUUUAAAACAGUUUAUAUGUAUACUGUAGUCAAGAAUUAUUAUGUAUAUAAAAUAAAAUAUCUACACACCUAUACUAUGUAGCGCGUGAUGAACAAGCUAUAGAAAGACCUUUUUAUUAAUCUUCGUAGAUAUUACAAGAACACAUUCAACAGCAAUUAUUAAUAUAUAUAUUUUUUUCACUCAACAGCAAUUUAUUCGACGGCAUAAACCGAAUUACCAUGCACGACACCGAUACAUAGUGCAUUAGCAGAUACGUAGUAGUAGGCUCAUCAUACAUAUAACGAAAGAUUCAUCAGCUCAUCAAAUUCAUCCAACUAGUAGUAAGCUGAUAAAUCGAGGCCAUCGAGGUAAGAUGCACGAAAUGGACGACGACGGCGACGAGUAGAUAACUUGUUGGGUUCCCAAAACUCACGCAUAUUCUCCUUAGCCGGAAAGACGAUUAGCUCACGUACGGUCAUUGGCUGGAUCACGGUAGGAUUGGCUCCAUAGAGAAGAUUUGCAAGUUCCUCUUGCGCCUUCUCCGAGUUGUGACGUCCGUCGAAGAAGAAGUAAGAUCUUUGGUACUCACAUAGCUUCGAGUGCACGUUAACCAUUCCACAACCAUACGCAAAGUGAGUCCCUACCCCGCAACACGAUGAGUUCGUCACGUAAAACCCUACAGAUCAACGUGAAUAAAUUGAAGUUUAAUUAUAUGAUCUUCACGUACGGUUUACGUAUCGUUUGUUAUCUUAACUAGUGAUAAUAAUUUUUGUGUGUUUGUAAUAUGGUACUUAGUAAAAUAAUUGAUGAUAUAUAAUCAACGUAUCUUAGCAGAAAACUUUCCAUAAAAAUCAUUGUAUUUUUUGUGUUUGUAAUAUUGUACUAAGUAAAAAAAUUGAUAGUGAUAAUAAUCAUAUGCGGCCCUGAAUUUCUGAAACAAUAAGCAACACUUAAUUAGUUAGUGAAGAUUGAUUAUGAUGAUGAAGACAGCUUACGGUAGUUAAUACUCCUGCCUGACGCAAUCCUACGCAUAACGGCGUUGUAGUAAUCGAAGACGGUGAAGAGAAAACCGCUUUUGGGGAUUUUAGCAAACUCGUUCAACAUCGGACCGAUCUCCUUGUUGUGUAGUUUUGCCAAAUCGUUGAGUGGCUCGUAACAUUCGUUGCCGGUUUUGUAUUCUUGUCUGGCGAUCGGUAAGCAACCCAAAGGUGCUAGCAAUGGAACCACGAAUCUACUCGCUCCCAGGGAGUAUAAUAACUAUAAAAUAAAUGAAUAGUAUAUGUAAGCCAAAAACAUACAUAAAUAGUAAGUCAAAUUAAAUGAACAUAAUUAAUGUACAAAAACGCAUAAUAUACGGUUUGUUGACAACUUACGCUGAUGUCGUUCUUUAAUCGCUUAGUGACAGAAGUGACAAAAGCUUGCUGAGCAGAAGCGUCUGCUUUUGGAUAGGUCUUGGUGAAGUUUAGAUAAUCUUCAGUACCGAUGUAUAUCAUAAACACUGAUUUCUCGAUGUAGUCGUCGGUCCAUUUUGAUAUCAUACUUUUAAAUUUGUUCACUUGUUGAUUCAGUGUCAUCUGUAUAUACAUAUAGGAAAUUAAAAAACGACUUGAACUCUUCUUUUUGUAACUCUUAACGAAAGGAAACCUUAAUGUUAAAAAUCUUUAAAGCUAAUAUACUUCAUGUGUUAUUAAAAAGAUAAACAUAAAUAGUCUAUCUCUUUCUUUUAAUAGUAAAGGCAGACUUACAGAUUCCACCGGAGCUCCAAGAAUAGAAGCAUCGGCGACAGCAAAACUAGCUCCACGUGAAAAAUCAACAUCCGGUUUAAGAGCCGGUGGGAUUCCGUUCGGAAUGGACAUGAACUCACCUAUACAAAAGCCAUGAUUUAUUAUUAUCUAGUUUCUUAAUAUAAACUACGCUCCUUGUAUUUAUAUAUAUAUAUAUAUAUCUUUAGAAUAUUAAUAAAAGAGCGUACCGAUAAAAUCGGGGACGAUGCGGCCAUCGGAAAAUUUGCCGUUGGGGUAGUCGGUGGAUUUGCCGUAAGGCCACAAGUUUUGUGGAAGAUUUCUUUUUUUGUUUAGUAGAAACACUUUGUUUCCGGCGUCGUAGUAGGAGUCACCAAAAGUGAACAACGCUACAUUCGGAACACCUUCACCGGCGUAGACGACGGUCGGAUCAUGGAAGAUGCUCAAUACCAAUAGUGCCCCCACAACACUCAUCAAAUUACACUUGCUUGCCAUCUCUCAAGUAUGAGUUAUGCCAGCGAGAGAGAGGAGAGGAUUGGAUGAAACUUUCAGACUCUCCACUCGUCAUAUUUAUAGUGCCAAAAUGAUCAUAAUAUUCACCGUUAUGUAAACUUUCUUUUUACUGGCCACAUAAAAAGAUUAAAAACAUAAUAGUGGGGCAAUCAACAAAUUAAUUAAAAAAAAAAAUCUUAUUGAUAUCUUAUCUUACGAUAUGAGGGAGGCUCAAGACUCACGUGGCAUAUUAUCUUAAUGUUUGGAUGCGAAAACAUGUGUGCACGAAAUUUAAUUAUUGUACGAGAUUCUUAUCGUCAUUCUAGUAGCACAAGAUACGAGGACAUAUAUAUUACGAAAAUAGUAACAUAUCACGAAAAUAGUAACAUUUCAGACAAAUAAGGGGACUCCUCUCCAUUGAAUAUCAUCAAAGCGAGAGCGUAAUGUACCGAUCUUCACAACAACCUCCUCUCCUUUGAAUAUCAUCAAGGCUUUGGUGGAUCGGAGUAUGCAAAACAGACUUAUAUCCUUCCCUCCAAAAGAUCGUAAUUCUUUUUUUCUCCUUGAAUUUUAAUUUGGUUGUAUUUCUCAUCUGAUUUAAUAUUGAUUUUGCUUGGUUCCAAUUUUGGGUAAGCUGUAAGGGUGCUUUUCCGUUUUAGUAUGUAACUGUAACCGUUUCUUUCUAGUAUCAAAUCUUAACAUUAAACCCAAAAAAUAAUAGGACGCCAAAUUUUUGUUCUUUUUUUUUUUUUUUGAGAGCUUCUUAUUCAUCUUCUUAACCAAAAGGAUUCUAACGUGUAGAUUUGAUCAUUAGAUUACUUUAAAAGCCAUCUUAAAGCAAUUUUUGGGGGUAAGCGUUUUUCCUUUAGAAUAGCUUAUUUUUCUUUCAUAGUUAGUUACAUCUCCAGUAUACAGAGGAUUUGAAAUUCGCACAAAACUUACAAAAAAAAAAAUAAAGAGGGAUUUAUACACACACGUAUAUAUAUAUAUAUAUAUAUAUUAUUUUUUAGUUGAAUUCUCGAAAUUAGCUUUUAUAAAUAUAUAACGAGUUGAUUAAAAAAAAAAAAUCAGCAAGAGUUGUGCGGUUAAAAUUAAGCGUCGGCUUCAGCAUGAAACAUGUUUUUCUCGUUGGAUUAGGUAGUCAUGUUAGUACCAUAUCUCAUAUCCCUAGGGACCUUCCUUCAAACACCAUAUAGUGUGAUGGAUACCCAAAACAAGACAAAAGAAAAUUUAAAAUUGAGUAAUGACAUAUCACCCACUAAAAACCAAAAACCAAAACCAUACACCGAUUGGCUUAAAUCCCGUUAGAACACCUCCAUUAGAGAUUUUUAAUCCAUUUGUGGCUCAGUUUCGUAAAUAAAAAAAUUAAAAAAAAUUGUAAAAACUUAUUUUCUUAAGGAGAACUCUUUAGAUAAGGAGCUGAAGAGACCAUCUUUUAACACAUGUGGCAAGCGCUUACUGGACGUUUAAUAACUUUUUUUUUUAAUUUUGUGUAAUUAAUUUUAGCUUUUUAUCUCUAAAAAAACAUUAAACUAUUCAUAUGAAACCCAACAUAAAUAACAUUAAUGGAGAUGCUCUUAUCCCUUUAAACUUCAUUUAGAUGUGAAAUUUUAAUACGUCCCUCAUGAUGAUGACUCAACUCGAUGACUCAACUCGAACCGAAUCUCACUUUAAAAUUAAUAAUAAACUUUUUAUGGAUCAACAAACAAAUCUCUAAUAUCAUUCUGAUAUCAUAUUAAAUUUUAUAGGUUUCCAACUCAAAACUAGUUAAUAAUAAAUAAAUUAACCUGAAUUUUUUAUAUACAAUAGUCUUUUAAACUUUGAAACUUUGGAUCGUGAAAUUCUAACAUAUAUUUUUGCUAUAACUUAUAGUAAAGAUGACAAGUUGUAACAUUCCAAACACAAUUUUAAUUCAAGAUCACGAUGCAUGGCAAAAACAAAGAGUUUUUUUUGGUUUUUCCCAACAAUCCAAACGGUUUUGAUGAGUAAGAAUUCUAAAGUUCACUGGUGAAAGAUUUUUCAUUAACCUUCUUUGAUCUUUCAUCGAAACAAACUUUUUCUGUCUUUCCGAUGACACGUUUUGUUUUUGUGAACAUCAGAUUUUGCAUUUUCAAAGCAACAAUUCGAAAUUUGUUUAUAUAAAUGAUCACCUACUUUAUUAUAUAAACCGCGCCACCAUAAUACGCCAUUUAAACUCUGAACACCAACAAAUAUUUUUACUAUCUUAACUAUCUAAUCAAUUCUGGCCCUGGAGACAAUCAAUAUAAGCAGCUACCCACAACGACAAAAACAACUACUUCAAUAAUCUGGGGCCAUGUUGCUUUAAAUUUUAUUUGGACCAUAUAAAUAAUUCGGGGCCCUUGUAUACUAAAUUUUUAAAUAUGACUUGUUUCUUAACAUCAUGAAAGUUAUAGCGCCACCUACCGUAUUGAGCUACCUAAGGAUGACGGGGUCAGUUGACCCCAUAACUUUUAUAAACUUUGUUUGCAGGCCUAAUUUAUAAUGUUUAAUGGUUGAUUUGUUUAAAACAUGUAAACUGACCCCAUUGUACGAGGUUUAAUUCUUUACCCUUGCACCCGUUUUGAUCAUUUUUUCAACAUAAUCGGUUCUUUUUUUGGUGAGUUUGUGCAUUUGAUAUGCUUAUGCACAAUUUCUAAACGAGUAUUAAACUAAUAAUGUUUAUACAAUUGGUUUUGAUUUUUGUUUUUUUAAUUAAUUGUUUGGUUAUACCUUUUACCAACCCAAAAAAAAACUCGAUUAUCAAUGAACACAACAAUUAACUAUGUUUUUUUGUUUGAACAUUAUAAUUAACUAAUGUUGAUCACUAAACUAUCCAUUUAUAUAUAUUAUUUAUAAUAAGUAAGCAUCUUAUUUCUUGUAGUCCAUUUUGGAAGGAAGGAGAAUGGACAAUUAAUUACUCGAGAAACAAGUAAUUAAUGGUGAGAAGACUGAGAAGGUUUUUCGAUCCACUACGUAGUAAGCAACUCCGAGGAGUUCUCCAUGUCGAUGAUUAGUAUUAUUAAUUGCUUUCAGUUUUAAAUUAUACUUAUAAGAUUUGAAUUUUUUUUUUGAAACCCUUUCAUUUAUUUUGGAAAAUAUCUCUAAAGUUUAUGAGUAUUUAUCAAUUUGAAAAUUUAAAGAAAUUGUAAUUUCGAAUAACUAAAUGAGACUUUUAAUUUAAACUUUAAUUAUAUGAGUUGUAUUUAUACAUGUUUUCUGUUUUAGAGUUUAAAAUAUUUGAUUUUUUUAUCCGCAUCUCACGGAGACCUAAUCUAGUAACUUAUAAAAACAUUACUUCGGUACCUAAAACUGUGUAUAUGUGUAAUAAUUUACCAUUUAUUUAAUGAUAUAACCCUUGAUAAAAUGGUUAAUUUGAUUUGACAAAAAAAAAAAAAGAGGAAAAAGAGAGUGAGUUGCUGUUAGGGAAAAAAAUUGAUGUGGGAUGUGCGAUAUUUCUUCUUUGUCUCGUCCCAUUCCGUCUCGGCCAAGUCAGAUCCGAUCCGCAAAACUCAAAUAUUUUUUAUUUUGUCCAAUCCGAUUUUCUAAGUUUAUACAGUUUAGAGUGAAUUACAUCUUUCAAAUCUACAUAGUGGAGUUAAGACUUAAGACUCAUUAUUGCAUUAACGCAUUUCGACCAACAAAGGAAUUACAUAAACGCAUUAGAAAUAAACCAUCACUAUUAAGAUUAUAUAUAAGAAGUAGAAUUGAAAAUUAAUCAAAAUUUAAUACGUAUAAAUGUAAAAUUUGAUGUCACUGAAGUUAUCUGGAGACGAUUCGUACAUUUAUUUUAAAUCAUGAGCAUAUAUUAAUGUAGAUUUAGAUACUGUUGAAGUUAUUAUGAUGUUUAGAACAUCGCAUGGUCAUUCGAACUAACUCACCAUAAUGUUGUUUCAGAGAUUUUAACUAAGCAAUCGACUCUAAGUAUAAAUCUAAUUUAUAUUCAUGUGAUUUUUAUAUGCUUUGAAAUCAUAUAAUUAGAAAACCAAAAUGCAAGGAAAAAUAAAUAAUAUACUUGACCUUUCGGUGGCUCUGAUGCUUACUUGAACCCUGCCAAGAAUGACCCAACUCCAUCUGAUUAUCAAAAACAAGCUUUUGAUGAUCAAGUCAUCACUACUUUUAUAGAGGCUGCAAAUAAAGGGAAAAUGCUUAGCAGUUACAUGAUAAUAUUUGCGAGAAUAUGAACAAUAUUUUGUUCUGCUUUCGAUUUCAUAGUUCAUCUCUGGUAAAGCUAGAGCUCUUUUGUGAUAUACAUACGAUGCCAAGACUGUGUUCCUACUGUUAAUGCCAAUGUGAUGGGAACGUGACAUGGAUAAUAAAACUUCUUGUUGAUGUUUUUCGUCAAUAAACACCAAAAGCCUCGUUGUGGAUUUACAGUUGAUUUAGUUGAACUCCAAAUAGAAUGCUUCAUGAAAAUACAAGAGACAUUAGCAUAAUAUGGGCCUUUGUAAAUGGGCUUACCGGCCCGCAUUAUAUGAAAAUAGUUUGUUUUAACUUGUGAAAUGAUGGAAUGAUAUCACCAUCUCACAUAUUUGUAUCAAUGUAUCAUCUUAUGUAAUCUUGACGUUUAUUCAUUUUAUCAUUCUAUUAAAUCAGUAGAAAAAAAAAUAUCAAAAUGUGGUCAUUCCAUAUAUUUUUUUAAUGAUUUCUUCUAGUUUCUUUUUUUUUUUUCUCCCAUUUUAUUUAUUUAAGUUUAACAAAUCUAGAUUUAGUAAAUAUUAAAUGGCACACCUUUUUUUGUUUUCUUGCAAGAAUUGUCACACCAUUAGUGUCAGAAGGUAUUUUCAAAAUUGUUUUCCAAUUGAAUUAAUUAUAAAUUCUUAAAAUCAAAUAAAUAAUAAAUUUUUUGAGAGAAAAACACUAAACUUAUAAAUCGUAUGAUCGAAUAGAACUUAAAAUAUAACCGUACAACAUAUUUUGAUUCUUAGAUUUUGCUGGAUGUAGUCCCAAAAUUUCAUAGUCAUCAACAUCGAAAAUAAUAUAUUAGUUUAGAUCAACUUUGAAUAUAUUUGCUAACAGCUACAUUCAUCAUGUUGCAUCUUUUUAAUUUUAGACAGAAAAUAUACUUUGAAUUGAUGCUGAACAAUUUUACAUUUUCAACUUUUUAUAGAGAUUUUUUUUUUCAAACAUGAAUUAAAAUUCUAAAAUGGUACUGUAUUAUUUAGCAUUCAGGCGUUUAGAACUUAGAAGGUCAUUGAUUGUUGGGAUAAAACAAUAAUUUUAUAAAAAGAUUAACAUCAAAAACAAUAAUUAAGAACUAUAAAAGAAAGGGGAAUAUAAAGUAGUGGUUGCCAAAAAGGGAAGACACUCGUUCCCUCAAUCAUUGGACAUGUCACUACUUUCCACAUUUUCGGCUCUAUUAAAUCCCCUCUAGUCUCACCCCCAUUUUCCAUUUUCUUUCUUUAAUCUACUUUGUAAUUCACUGUCAAUGUUAACCCGUAGUUUUUUGGUUUGUUUACCUAGAAAAAAUGACAUUUAUCUCAUCUAUCCUUACUUUUAGGAUUUAUACUUUUAAGUUUUGAACCAGCUCGAAGUACAUGAUUCUUAGUUCGUCUUAAAGUCUUUAGGCGCAUAUAUACAGAUAGCCCGAUAGAAUAGCAUUGGAGGAUGUUCAAGUCUCAAUCAUUUGCCGUAAUAAAUAAAGAUUUAACUUAUUAAAUAGCUUCAGUCUGAAAAUGCUUUUGAUAAUCACAAAUUCUCAAUCCAACACACAAAUGAUGAAUUAAACCUUAUGUUUAUUCCGUUUUGGCCUUAUGAUUUAUUUAUUAAAAAAAAGAAUAAACAACAGACGGAGAAUAAAAUUUAGGACAAAACUCUUUUCAACGCCAUAAUAAAUUGAUUGUUUUAAGGUUGUCAUACGAAUCUGUAAUUUUUUCAGGUUUAUGUCUAAAAGGAGAAAUAAUAGAAAAAGAGAAACCAAUAAUUGCUUAAAAAAAGGCCCCGCGGUAGUCACGUAGCUGAAAUGUUAAAAGUGCGUGAGUUGCAAUUUAAAUAGUAAUAUUAGCGAAUAAAUAAUAAUUACGUAAAAAUUUGCUGCCACGGUGGUCCAGACAUAAUCCACGUGAUGCUCGUUGUGAUAUGAGGAAAGGCCCACCCUGUGCCACGUCAUUAUGCCAGCUGUCUCCAGUUCUUCAUUUCAGGGUCUUUCCCAUGUUGUUGUUGUACAUCCCACUCCCCCGAACUCCGUCGUUUUAAGCCGUCGGAUAUACAAAUCCAACGGUUCGGGAGUUUCAUUAAUGUUCUUCCUUUCUUUUUAUAUGUCGAUGCGUGAAAAGUCCAAAAAGGAGUUUCUCGCCUUUUUUUUCUUAACUCGGAUUCUCUCGUCUUUGUCAACGCAAUUUUUAUUUUUUAUAAACAAAACAAAUGCAGUUUUAGUUAUUUGAUUUUCGAAAAACUAAUCAAUGUACAAGUACAAUACCUCUGUUAUGCAAGAAUCUUUCCACUUCUAUUAUUUGAAAGAGAUAAGCUCAUUGUAGCUAUUUAUUUUUAGUUUUAGAGUUUAAAGUACAUUAGAACGGUUCAUUUUAGAGUGACGUAAGUUUUUUUUUUUAAUAAUUACAAUGACAUAUGUAGAAACGUGUAUCAUUUGCAAUCUCAUUUCAACAAACAAAAAAAUAGCGUGUAUCAUUUGCAAACCCUUUGAUUUUAUAACGAAGAAUUGGCUAUGAUCAAAUUAAUAUAAAGUUGACGAGGGCAUAUAAGCAUAUUAGUAUAUUCUCCUU
This 13039-nucleotide long non-coding RNA is filed under the name Eutrema salsugineum. Its description in RNAcentral is "long non-coding RNA (ESAL_LNC001652)". Lineage: Eukaryota; Viridiplantae; Streptophyta; Magnoliopsida; Brassicales; Brassicaceae. The record is from RNAcentral.